CAGUAGCCGCGGGAAUACGUAGGGUGCGAGCGUUAAUCGGAAUUACUGGGCGCAAAGCGUGCGCAGGCGGUUUUGUAAGACAGGCGUGAAAUCCCCGGGCUCAACCUGGGAAUGGCGCUUGUGACUGCAAAGCUAGAGUGCGGCAGAGGGGGAUGGAAUUCCGCGUGUAGCAGUGAAAUGCGUAGAUAUGCGGAGGAACACCGAUGGCGAAGGCAAUCCCCUGGGCCUGCACUGACGCUCAUGCACGAAAGCGUGGGGAGCAAACAGGAUUAGAUACCCCUGUAGUCCCUGUCUCUUAUAC
RNAcentral lists this ribosomal RNA (301 nucleotides) under uncultured bacterium. Its description in RNAcentral is "partial 16S ribosomal RNA". It matches the Rfam family "Bacterial small subunit ribosomal RNA", at positions 509 to 807 of the family's 1533-position model. The record is from RNAcentral.